This 673-nucleotide long non-coding RNA is filed under the name Fukomys damarensis (Damara mole-rat). Its description in RNAcentral is "lncRNA (ENSFDAG00000030688.1)". Lineage: Eukaryota; Metazoa; Chordata; Mammalia; Rodentia; Bathyergidae. The record is from RNAcentral.
GGAGAAUUCUCACAACUCAGGAAUUAGUGGACAGUGCUCUGUCCAGUGCUAGACAGGACCAGUUUCAAGUGCCAAGAAAUGAAGGAAAAAAGAUGCCCAUCUUUUUCACCGAGCUCUUUGUUCAAGGCUCUACAAAAUGAGAUCCUUACGUGCACCCACUGGAAGGCCAAUGGGAAGAACCAGCUUGCCCGAGCAGAGUGGUGCUGGUUGAAGUCCUCCUCAUCGGCGUAGAUGUCAACGAGGCUCCGGAAAGAUGAUCUCGCAGCCAGAGAAGGGAAAAGGAAGAAAGACGCCACGGGAAUAUGGCGGCGGCGAUGGGCGAGUCCAGACUAGGCCCUCAGGUCCUCCAGUCCUAAUGAGGUAUAACACAUCCAGUACAAUAAAUCCAUUGAGCAGCCUGUCGAUGGAUGACCCUGUGGGCAAGAGUAGGAAGGCCACACUCCUGCUGGGAAGUCCUUUCUCGGGCUGGCCGGUGGAAAACUUUGUGAUCACCUUCAGCUACAAGGAUACUCUGAGCUUUAAUGAACCCCUUCAUUUGAGGACAUUGGAUCUUAGAGCAGCCGCUCUCUUGGGUUUCUGCACCACAAUGAAAGAAAACAAGCCAAAACAGAAGCACCUGAGGCAAGGCUUCAUUGUGGGAGGGAACUGUCAGGCUACCUCAAACAAUGGCGAG